Molecule: ribosomal RNA, 463 nt
Filed under: uncultured bacterium
Lineage: Bacteria
Description: bacterial SSU rRNA
Rfam family: Bacterial small subunit ribosomal RNA
Source: RNAcentral
CGUACGAUACGAGUUUGAUCCCUGGCUCAGAACGAACGCUGGCGGCAGGCCUAACACAUGCAAGUCGAGCGAACCCUUCGGGGUUAGCGGCGGACGGGUUAGUAACGCGUGGGAAUAUACCCUUUGGUACGGAAUAGCCUCGGGGAAACUGAGAGUAAUACCGUAUGUGCCCUUCGGGGAAAGAUUUAUCGCCAAAGGAUUAGCCCGCGUUGGAUUAGGUAGUUGGUGGGGUAAUGGCCUACCAAGCCUACGAUCCAUAGCUGGUUUGAGAGGAUGAUCAGCAACACUGGGACUGAGACACGGCCCAGACUCCUACGGGAGGCAGCAGUGGGGAAUCUUAGACAAUGGGCGCAAGCCUGAUCUAGCCAUGCCGCGUGGACGAUGAAGGCCUUAGGGUUGUAAAGUCCUUUCAGAUGGGAAGAUAAUGACGGUACCAUCAGAAGAAGCCCCGGCUAACUCCGUG